This 533-nucleotide ribosomal RNA is filed under the name uncultured bacterium. RNAcentral's name for it is "bacterial SSU rRNA". It matches the Rfam family "Bacterial small subunit ribosomal RNA", at positions 977 to 1509 of the family's 1533-position model. The record is from RNAcentral.
GGCCUUGACAUACUAAGAACUUUCCAGAGAUGGAUUGGUGCCUUCGGGAACUUAGAUACAGGUGCUGCAUGGUUGUCGUCAGCUCGUGUCGUGAGAUGUUGGGUUAAGUCCCGCAACGAGCGCAACCCUUUUCCUUAUUUGCCAGCGGGUCAUGCCGGGAACUUUAAGGAUACUGCCAGUGACAAACUGGAGGAAGGCGGGGACGACGUCAAGUCAUCAUGGCCCUUACGGCCAGGGCUACACACGUGCUACAAUGGUCGGUACAAAGGGUUGCUACCUCGCGAGAGGAUGCUAAUCUCAAAAAGCCGAUCGUAGUCCGGAUCGCAGUCUGCAACUCGACUGCGUGAAGUCGGAGUCGCUAGUAAUCGCGGAUCAGAAUGCCGCGGUGAAUACGUUCCCGGGCCUUGUACACACCGCCCGUCACACCAUGGGAGUUUGUUGCACCAGAAGUAGGUAGUCUAACCGCAAGGAGGACGCUUACCACGGUGUGGCCGAUGACUGGGGUGAAGUCGUAACAAGGUAAGCGUAGAUGA